This 544-nucleotide ribosomal RNA is filed under the name uncultured archaeon. RNAcentral describes it as "bacterial SSU rRNA". It matches the Rfam family "Archaeal small subunit ribosomal RNA", at positions 275 to 823 of the family's 1478-position model. The record is from RNAcentral.
UGUGAGAGCAAGAGCCCGGAGAUGGAUUCUGAGACACGAAUCCAGGCCCUACGGGGCGCAGCAGGCGCGAAAACUUUACAAUGCGAGAAAUCGUGAUAAGGGAACCCCGAGUGCCCGUAAAUUCGGGCUGUCCGCCAGUGCAAAUAGCUGGUGAAGAAAGGGCCGGGCAAGACCGGUGCCAGCCGCCGCGGUAAUACCGGCGGCUCGAGUGGUGGCCACUAUUACUGGGCUUAAAGCGUCCGUAGCUUGAUUGUUAAGUCUCUUGGGAAAUCCACCGGCUCAACCGAUGGGCGUUCAGGAGAAACUGGCAAUCUAGGGACCGGGAGAGGUGAGAGGUACUCCAGGGGUAGGAGUGAAAUCCUGUAAUCCUUGGGGGACCACCGAUGGCGAAGGCAUCUCACCAGAACGGCUCCGACAGUGAGGAACGAAAGCUGGGGGAGCAAACCGGAUUAGAUACCCGGGUAGUCCCAGCUGUAAACGAUGCGCGUUAGGUGUAUCGGUGACCACGAGUUACCGAGGUGCCGAAGGGAAACCGUGAAACGCG